UUAGUAGAGAGAGCAUGUGCUCCCUAAAAAUAGAACUUUUCAUCUAUGCGCUUCAGUUGAAAGCUACUGAGGACUGGACACAGUGGUUAGAAAAGUCAAUGAAUGUCAACAGUAGCCAUUUUUUGCACAUGAAGGAAUUCAGUGAAACACCUUUGCUUCAUCUGCACUCCCAUGUCGAACACCAUUCUGUCACACUGCUCCUUUACUGCCUCUACAGCAAAAGCAGCCAUUUCAGAGUGCAUUUCAUAAACAUAAGAACAGCGUUCCCGUAUAAUCAAAAACAAUGUAUGACAAACCACACUGGCAUUUCAAAGAGGCUAUGUAUCUGCUCCUUCAAAAAGAGAAAAUAGAAGGAACAUAAGGCAAGUAGAUUACUCCAACUCAUAACUGAACUCAGCUGUGACCCUGAUGAAAAUUUCUACUACUGAGGUGUCUAAGGUUGUUUCCUACUGUUCUUGCCCUGCCAAGGUUUUAUGAUUUUUUGUUAUCAGUAUUUCAUAUCAUAACAUCAUGUAGUGCACUGGAAGUUAAAGAGUUAAUGCUGCAGUUCCAUUGAUUGUCAAUAGUUCUGGGUACCUACUCCCAGAAGAGAAGAAUGAAUUACAGCUCCCAGAAGACUUUAUUAUUCCAUUUCCAUUUUCCAUUCAGAGGGAAAGGUAAAACUGACUGGGAAUAACGGGACUAUCUAUCUUUCUGCU
Long non-coding RNA from Gallus gallus (chicken), 698 nucleotides. Lineage: Eukaryota; Metazoa; Chordata; Aves; Galliformes; Phasianidae. The record is from Ensembl.